This 2930-nucleotide ribosomal RNA is filed under the name Candidatus Peribacteria bacterium RIFCSPLOWO2_12_FULL_53_10. RNAcentral describes it as "bacterial LSU rRNA". The stretch from base 1 to 2364 matches the Rfam family "Bacterial large subunit ribosomal RNA". The record is from RNAcentral. Lineage: Bacteria; Candidatus Peregrinibacteriota; Candidatus Peribacteria.
GGCCAGCUGCGUUAAGCUCCGGUCAGCCGCUAGGCAGGCGCUAAUAGCCGGAGAUAUCCGAAUGGNNNNNNNNNNNNNNNNNNNNNNNNNNNNNNNNNNNNNCUUUUUUCGUGCUUCAUGGUAACCAUGCAUCAGUCUGAUGUUUUGGUUAUCACAGGCACGAAAAAAGGUGCGGGGAGGUCACCUGGUGAACUGAAACAUCUCAUUAACCAGGGAAAAGAAAUCAAUAAGAGAUUCCCCGAGUAGUGGCGAGCGAAAGGGGAACAGCCCAAACCCAGCACCUUUUUUCCUGCUUUAUUGUAACCAUGCAUCAAUGUUCGGCAUGAGUUACACAGGCAUGAAAAAUAGGUGCUGGGGGUUGUAGGACUUCAUACGCUGAUCUUCCUCCUCUAGGCGAACGACCCUGGAACGGGCGGCCAUAGAGGGUGAGAGCCCCGUAGACGAAAGGGGGGGAAGCGGCAGAAGUAUCCUGAGUAAGGUCGGACACGUGAAAUCCGGCCCGAAUCUGGGAGGACCACCUUCCAAGGCUAAAUCAGAUACAGAGAUCUAUAGCGGAUAGUACCGUGAGGGAAAGGUGAAAAGCACCCCGGAAGGGGGAUGAAAUAGUUUCUGAAAUGUGAUGCGUACAAAAAGUCGGAGCCUGGCGCAAGCUGGGUGACGGCGUGCCUUUUGCAUAAUGAGCCAACGACUGUGUUCUCAGUGGCAAGGCUAAGGCAGUCUUUAGCCGGAGCCGGAGCGAAAGCGAGUCCGAAUAGGGCGCUUAGUCGCUGGGACACGACCCGAAACCGGGUGAGCUAUCCAUGAGCAGGAUGAAGGGCGCCGGAAGGCGUCUGGAGGUCCGAACCAUAAUGUAUCGCAAGACAUUGGGAUGACUUGUGGAUGGGAGUGAAAAGCUUACCGAACCCGGAGAUAGCUGGUUUUCCUCGAUAUGUUUUUAGGAACAGCCUCGUUAGAUACAGCGGGGGGUAGAGAUACUGUUUGGAUGCGGGGGUCCUUUGUGACCUACCAAAUCCUGACAAACUCCGAAUACCCGCCUUUCACUGACGGCAGUGAGACGGUGACAGCAAAUUGCCAUCGUCGUGAGGGGAAGAGCCCCGACCAUUGGCUAAGGUCCCUAAUGAAUGCUGAGUGGAAAAGGUAGUGUAGAUGCUUCAACAACCAGGAGGUUGGCUUAGAAGCAGCCAUCCUUUAAAGAAAGCGUAACAGCUCACUGGUCGAUGCAUCUAUGCGCCGAAAAUUUACCGGGGCAAAGCAUUCAACCGAAGCCGUGGAUUCCAGCACCUUUUUUCGUGCCUCUUUAGUAACCAUUCAUCACGCGUGAUCAUUGGUUACCGCGGACGCGAAAAUAGGUGCUGGAGUGGUAGAGGAACGUUCCCUGUGCAUUGAAGCCGAGCCGCGAGGUCAGGUGGAGUGCAGGGAAGUGAGACUGUUGGCAUGAGUAACUACUAGGCAAGUGAAAAACUUGCCCGCCGAAUUCCCAAGGUUUCCCACGCAACGGUCAUCGGCGUGGGGUUAGUCGGUCCUAAGGCCAGGCCGAAAGGCGUAACCGAUGGACAGCAGGUCAAUAUUCCUGCACUUCGUAAAAAUCGACAACGGUGUACGGUUGAUAGUUCUGUCGGCCUCUAAUCUUCACCAUUCUGAACUUACGAAAUUAGCAAUUAGAAGUGAGCAAUUAGAAAUUGCUCAUUGCUAAUUCCUCAUUGCUAAUUUGAUCCGAGUUUAGGAUGGUGAAGAUUAUGUCUACGGAAAAGGAUACCGUACAUUUAGAAGCGGUGUGACGGAGACGGAAGUCCGGAGCGUGUGCAUUGACUGCACGUGGAAGGCGCGAAGCGUUGAGGCCGGGAGGCAAAUCCCCCGGCUGAGCCGAGCGUUUACCCCAAUUACCCGCCGCAAGGCGGAUGAGUCCGAAACUUUCAGCUUCCAAGAAAACCAUCGCUUCGAGAGCUUUACGAAACCGUACCGCAAACCAACACCGGUGGGAUGGUCGAGUAGACCAAGGCGAACGGAUCAUCUUGUGUUAAGGAACUCGGCAAUGAAGCGUCCGUAACUUCGGGAUAAGGACUGACGGUCCCCUCGUGGGAUCGCCUGCAACAAAAGAGCCCGGGCGACUGUUUACCAAAAACACAGGUCCCUGCUAAGUCGCAAGACUAUGUAUAGGGGCUGAUGCCUGGCCAGUGUCAGAAGGUCACGUGAGGAGCUUUACGGCUCCGAUCCAAGCCCUGACGAACGCCGGCCGUAACUAUAACGGUCCUAAGGCCAGGCCGAAAGGCGUAACCGAUGGACAGCAGGUCAAUAUUCCUGCACUUCGUAAAAAUCGACAACGGUGUACGGUUGAUAGUUCUGUCGGCCUCUAAUCUUCACCAUUCUGAACUUACGAAAUUAGCAAUUAGAAGUGAGCAAUUAGAAAUUGCUCAUUGCUAAUUCCUCAUUGCUAAUUUGAUCCGAGUUUAGGAUGGUGAAGAUUAUGUCUACGGAAAAGGAUACCGUACAUUUAGAAGCGGUGUGACGGAGACGGAAGUCCGGAGCGUGUGCAUUGACUGCACGUGGAAGGCGCGAAGCGUUGAGGCCGGGAGGCAAAUCCCCCGGCUGAGCCGAGCGUUUACCCCAAUUACCCGCCGCAAGGCGGAUGAGUCCGAAACUUUCAGCUUCCAAGAAAACCAUCGCUUCGAGAGCUUUACGAAACCGUACCGCAAACCAACACCGGUGGGAUGGUCGAGUAGACCAAGGCGAACGGAUCAUCUUGUGUUAAGGAACUCGGCAAUGAAGCGUCCGUAACUUCGGGAUAAGGACUGACGGUCCCCUCGUGGGAUCGCCUGCAACAAAAGAGCCCGGGCGACUGUUUACCAAAAACACAGGUCCCUGCUAAGUCGCAAGACUAUGUAUAGGGGCUGAUGCCUGGCCAGUGUCAGAAGGUCACGUGAGGAGCUUUA